RNAcentral lists this ribosomal RNA (694 nucleotides) under uncultured bacterium. RNAcentral describes it as "bacterial SSU rRNA". It matches the Rfam family "Bacterial small subunit ribosomal RNA", at positions 111 to 823 of the family's 1533-position model. The record is from RNAcentral.
UAACACGUGGGCAACCUGCCUUAUACUGGGGGAUAACAGUUAGAAAUGACUGCUAAUACCGCAUAAGCGCCCAUCCCCGCAUGGGGAAGAGCGAAAAACUCCGGUGGUAUAAGAUGGGCCCGCGCCUGAUUAGGUAGUUGGUGGGGUAACGGCCUACCAAGCCGACGAUCAGUAGCCGACCUGAGAGGGUGGCCGGCCACAUUGGGACUGAGACACGGCCCAAACUCCUACGGGAGGCAGCAGUGGGGAAUAUUGCACAAUGGGGGAAACCCUGAUGCAGCGACGCCGCGUGAGUGAAGAAGUAUUUCGGUAUGUAAAGCUCUAUCAGCAGGGAAGAAAAUGACGGUACCUGACUAAGAAGCCCCGGCUAACUACGUGCCAGCAGCCGCGGUAAUACGUAGGGGGCAAGCGUUAUCCGGAUUUACUGGGUGUAAAGGGAGCGUAGACGGCUGUGCAAGCCAGAUGUGAAAGCCCGGGGCUCAACCCCGGGACUGCAUUUGGAACUGUGUGGCUGGAGUGUCGGAGAGGCAGGCGGAAUUCCUAGUGUAGCGGUGAAAUGCGUAGAUAUUAGGAGGAACACCAGUGGCGAAGGCGGCCUGCUGGACGAUGACUGACGUUGAGGCUCGAAAGCGUGGGGAGCAAACAGGAUUAGAUACCCUGGUAGUCCACGCCGUAAACGAUGACUACUAGGUGU